AAAUUGAAGAGUUUGAUCAUGGCUCAGAUUGAACGCUGGCGGCAGGCCUAACACAUGCAAGUCGAGCGGUAGCACAGAGAGCUUGCUCUCGGGUGACGAGCGGCGGACGGGUGAGUAAUGUCUGGGAAACUGCCUGAUGGAGGGGGAUAACUACUGGAAACGGUAGCUAAUACCGCAUAACGUCGCAAGACCAAAGUGGGGGACCUUCGGGCCUCAUGCCAUCAGAUGUGCCCAGAUGGGAUUAGCUAGUAGGUGGGGUAACGGCUCACCUAGGCGACGAUCCCUAGCUGGUCUGAGAGGAUGACCAGCCACACUGGAACUGAGACACGGUCCAGACUCCUACGGGAGGCAGCAGUGGGGAAUAUUGCACAAUGGGCGCAAGCCUGAUGCAGCCAUGCCGCGUGUGUGAAGAAGGCCUUCGGGUUGUAAAGCACUUUCAGCGGGGAGGAAGGCGNUNAGGUUAAUAACCUUGGCGAUUGACGUUACCCGCAGAAGAAGCACCGGCUAACUCCGUGCCAGCAGCCGCGGUAAUACGGAGGGUGCAAGCGUUAAUCGGAAUUACUGGGCGUAAAGCGCACGCAGGCGGUCUGUCAAGUCGGAUGUGAAAUCCCCGGGCUNAACCUGGGAACUGCAUUCGAAACUGGCAGGCUAGAGUCUUGUAGAGGGGGGUAGAAUUCCAGGUGUAGCGGUGAAAUGCGUAGAGAUCUGGAGGAAUACCGGUGGCGAAGGCGGCCCCCUGGACAAAGACUGACGCUCAGGUGCGAAAGCGUGGGGAGCAAACAGGAUUAGAUACCCUGGUAGUCCACGCCGUAAACGAUGUCGAUUUGGAGGUUGUGCCCUUGAGGCGUGGCUUCCGGAGCUAACGCGUUAAAUCGACCGCCUGGGGAGUACGGCCGCAAGGUUAAAACUCAAAUGAAUUGACGGGGGCCCGCACAAGCGGUGGAGCAUGUGGUUUAAUUCGAUGCAACGCGAAGAACCUUACCUGGUCUUGACAUCCACAGAACUUNNCAGAGAUGNNUUGGUGCCUUCGGGAACUGUGAGACAGGUGCUGCAUGGCUGUCGUCAGCUCGUGUUGUGAAAUGUUGGGUUAAGUCCCGCAACGAGCGCAACCCUUAUCCUUUGUUGCCAGCGGUUAGGCCGGGAACUCAAAGGAGACUGCCAGUGAUAAACUGGAGGAAGGUGGGGAUGACGUCAAGUCAUCAUGGCCCUUACGACCAGGGCUACACACGUGCUACAAUGGCAUAUACAAAGAGAAGCGACCUCGCGAGAGCAAGCGGACCUCAUAAAGUAUGUCGUAGUCCGGAUUGGAGUCUGCAACUCGACUCCAUGAAGUCGGAAUCGCUAGUAAUCGUAGAUCAGAAUGCUACGGUGAAUACGUUCCCGGGCCUUGUACACACCGCCCGUCACACCAUGGGAGUGGGUUGCAAAAGAAGUAGGUAGCUUAACCUUCGGGAGGGCGCUUACCACUUUGUGAUUCAUGACUGGGGUGAAGUCGUAACAAGGUAACCGUAGGGGAACCUGCGGUUGGAUCACCUCCUUACCUUAAAGAA
This 1550-nucleotide ribosomal RNA is filed under the name Klebsiella pneumoniae. RNAcentral describes it as "bacterial SSU rRNA". It matches the Rfam family "Bacterial small subunit ribosomal RNA". The record is from RNAcentral. Lineage: Bacteria; Pseudomonadati; Pseudomonadota; Gammaproteobacteria; Enterobacterales; Enterobacteriaceae.